CGAUACAGGGUGACAGCCCCGUACACAAAAAUGCACAUACUGUGAGCUCGAUGAGUAGGGCGGGACACGUGGUAUCCUGUCUGAAUAUGGGGGGACCAUCCUCCAAGGCUAAAUACUCCUGACUGACCGAUAGUGAACCAGUACCGUGAGGGAAAGGCGAAAAGAACCCCGGCGAGGGGAGUGAAAAAGAACCUGAAACCGUGUACGUACAAGCAGUGGGAGCACGCUUAGGCGUGUGACUGCGUACCUUUUGUAUAAUGGGUCAGCGACUUAUAUUCUGUAGCAAGGUUAACCGAAUAGGGGAGCCGAAGGGAAACCGAGUCUUAACUGGGCGUUAAGUUGCAGGGUAUAGACCCGAAACCCGGUGAUCUAGCCAUGGGCAGGUUGAAGGUUGGGUAACACUAACUGGAGGACCGAACCGACUAAUGUUGAAAAAUUAGCGGAUGACUUGUGGCUGGGGGUGAAAGGCCAAUCAAACCGGGAGAUAGCUGGUUCUCCCCGAAAGCUAUUUAGGUAGCGCCUCGUGAAUUCAUCUCCGGGGGUAGAGCACUGUUUCGGCAAGGGGGUCAUCCCGACUUACCAACCCGAUGCAAACUGCGAAUACCGGAGAAUGUUAUCACGGGAGACACACGGCGGGUGCUAACGUCCGUCGUGAAGAGGGAAACAACCCAGACCGCCAGCUAAGGUCCCAAAGUCAUGGUUAAGUGGGAAACGAUGUGGGAAGGCCCAGACAGCCAGGAUGUUGGCUUAGAAGCAGCCAUCAUUUAAAGAAAGCGUAAUAGCUCACUGGUCGAGUCGGCCUGCGCGGAAGAUGUAACGGGGCUAAACCAUGCACCGAAGCUGCGGCAGCGACGCUUAUGCGUUGUUGGGUAGGGGAGCGUUCUGUAAGCCUGCGAAGGUGUGCUG
This 906-nucleotide ribosomal RNA is filed under the name Escherichia coli. RNAcentral's name for it is "partial 23S ribosomal RNA". It matches the Rfam family "Bacterial large subunit ribosomal RNA", at positions 354 to 1263 of the family's 2925-position model. Lineage: Bacteria; Pseudomonadati; Pseudomonadota; Gammaproteobacteria; Enterobacterales; Enterobacteriaceae. The record is from RNAcentral.